This is a long non-coding RNA of Epinephelus moara (kelp grouper), 573 nucleotides long. RefSeq lists it as uncharacterized. The record is from RefSeq and is a predicted model, not a curated record. The transcript is spliced from 3 exons. NCBI's taxonomy places the organism in Eukaryota, Metazoa, Chordata, Actinopteri, Perciformes, Serranidae.
CGCUGUGGAACUAUACUGCAGUACAGCCAAACACUGUAAUAUAUACCGGUCUCUGCAUACGUCAUCUUUUAAUAUCCAUCCGCACUCGAAAAUAGUCCCCACUGCUUCGAACCGCAGUAUAUCAAUGCGGCGGAGUGAUAUCUCCCUACCCAACGGCUCUGGCUCUAGAAUUUGCUAGAACACGGUAGCAACAGAAACCGUCCCCGAGCUUCUGAUUGGACCGAGUGAUUGUUUGUUUGGCCAGCGAUUGGUUGCCGUGUUACAAAUAUCAUACCCACUGUCAUACCAGGAAGUCACGAAGCCUGUAAAUGACUGUGCAUUUGUGUGACACGCCAGAGGCACAUGUGCAGACAGUUAUUCUGUUGAUCUCCAUCAAACGUGCCUGUUAACAGAUGGAAACGUGUUUGGUAAACGUGUCCCACCAGCUGCUGUGACAGCAGGGUGAGGUCUUUGAGGUAAAGAAGAAGACAGCAUUGCAAACUGACCUCCUUUACCCUCCUUGUUUCAUUUCAUUUUCACUUGCAAUCAGAUUUCACAUCACACAGACCAUCUAAAUAAAGAAGACAUGCUUGU